This 760-nucleotide ribosomal RNA is filed under the name uncultured Stenotrophomonas sp. RNAcentral describes it as "bacterial SSU rRNA". It matches the Rfam family "Bacterial small subunit ribosomal RNA", at positions 28 to 776 of the family's 1533-position model. Lineage: Bacteria; Pseudomonadati; Pseudomonadota; Gammaproteobacteria; Lysobacterales; Lysobacteraceae. The record is from RNAcentral.
AGUGAACGCUGGCGGUAGGCCUAACACAUGCAAGUCGAACGGCAGCACAGAGGAGCUUGCUCCUUGGGUGGCGAGUGGCGGACGGGUGAGGAAUACAUCGGAAUCUACUCUGUCGUGGGGGAUAACGUAGGGAAACUUACGCUAAUACCGCAUACGACCUACGGGUGAAAGCAGGGGAUCUUCGGACCUUGCGCGAUUGAAUGAGCCGAUGUCGGAUUAGCUAGUUGGCGGGGUAAAGGCCCACCAAGGCGACGAUCCGUAGCUGGUCUGAGAGGAUGAUCAGCCACACUGGAACUGAGACACGGUCCAGACUCCUACGGGAGGCAGCAGUGGGGAAUAUUGGACAAUGGGCGCAAGCCUGAUCCAGCCAUACCGCGUGGGUGAAGAAGGCCUUCGGGUUGUAAAGCCCUUUUGUUGGGAAAGAAAUCCAGCCGGCUAAUACCUGGUUGGGAUGACGGUACCCAAAGAAUAAGCACCGGCUAACUUCGUGCCAGCAGCCGCGGUAAUACGAAGGGUGCAAGCGUUACUCGGAAUUACUGGGCGUAAAGCGUGCGUAGGUGGUUAUUUAAGUCCGUUGUGAAAGCCCUGGGCUCGACCUGGGAACUGCAGUGGAUACUGGAUGACUAGAAUGUGGUAGAGGGUAGCGGAAUUCCUGGUGUAGCAGUGAAAUGCGCAGAGAUCAGGAGGAACAUCCAUGGCGAAGGCAGCUACCUGGACCAACAUUGACACUGAGGCACGAAAGCGUGGGGAGCAAAACAGG